This 427-nucleotide ribosomal RNA is filed under the name uncultured Herbaspirillum sp. RNAcentral describes it as "bacterial SSU rRNA". It matches the Rfam family "Bacterial small subunit ribosomal RNA", at positions 355 to 774 of the family's 1533-position model. Lineage: Bacteria; Pseudomonadati; Pseudomonadota; Betaproteobacteria; Burkholderiales; Oxalobacteraceae. The record is from RNAcentral.
UGGGGAAUUUUGGACAAUGGGCGCAAGCCUGAUCCAGCAAUGCCGCGUGAGUGAAGAAGGCCUUCGGGUUGUAAAGCUCUUUUGUCAGGGAAGAAACGGGUGAGGCUAAUAUCCUUGCCUAAUGACGGUACCUGAAGAAUAAGCACCGGCUAACUACGUGCCAGCAGCCGCGGUAAUACGUAGGGUGCAAGCGUUAAUCGGAAUUACUGGGCGUAAAGCGUGCGCAGGCGGUUGUGCAAGACAGAUGUGAAAUCCCCGGGCUUAACCUGGGAAUUGCAUUUGUGACUGCACGGCUAGAGUGUGUCAGAGGGGGGUAGAAUUCCACGUGUAGCAGUGAAAUGCGUAGAUAUGUGGAGGAAUACCGAUGGCGAAGGCAGCCCCCUGGGAUAACACUGACGCUCAUGCACGAAAGCGUGGGGAGCAAACA